RNAcentral lists this ribosomal RNA (301 nucleotides) under uncultured bacterium. RNAcentral's name for it is "partial 16S ribosomal RNA". It matches the Rfam family "Bacterial small subunit ribosomal RNA", at positions 509 to 807 of the family's 1533-position model. The record is from RNAcentral.
CAGCCGCCGCGGGAAUACGAAGGGGGCUAGCGUUGCUCGGAAUUACUGGGCGUAAAGGGCGCGUAGGCGGACAGCUUAGUCAGAGGUGAAAGCCCAAGGCUCAACCUUGGAACUGCCUUUGAUACUGGCUGUCUUGAGUUCGGGAGAGGUGAGUGGAAUGCCGAGUGUAGAGGUGAAAUUCGUAGAUAUUCGGCGGAACACCAGUGGCGAAGGCGACUCACUGGCCCGGUACUGACGCUGAGGCGCGAAAGCGUGGGGAGCAAACAGGAUUAGAUACCCCCGUAGUCCCUGUCUCUUAUAC